GGUGUUUUGUUAAAUUGUGGGAGGAAUUUCAGAAAGUGUUUAUUCAUCCAUUUGGAAGAGAAUCGACAAGAAAGGGAUAAGCUUCAACGGUGAGUUCACUAUAUCUUGUUUUUAUGUUUUCACCAUGGUUCAAAUGGCAACCAUGGUUAGAUAAGCAUGUAUCUAGGUUAUUUUUGCACCAUGGUUAUGUAAACACUGUAGAUAAGCAUGUAUCUAGGUAGUUGAUAUGGAGAAUAGGUUGGGGAAUGGCUCGUUCCAUUCCAUUUGUUGCUGUGGUGAUGGCUUGGAGCCGAUUAUGUGCUAUGUGUGUUUAUGUGUUUGUGUAAGAAAUAGGCACAAGUAAUCAUAAAUAUUUGUGAAAUUUAUAGGUUAAGUAAAAUGACAUAUAUUUUUUUAAUGGAUAAAGGUUGGAUGUCCAAAAAUAGAUUAUCAAACGAGUACGAAGUAGGAGUGGAGUCUUUCUUGCAGUUUGCCGUUAAAAAUGGGAAAAAUCCCAAUGCUAUGCCUUGUCCUUGUGUCAAGUGUGGCAAUCUACGCGAGAAGGAUGUCAAAACCAUAAGAGCGCAUCUCACAUAUAAUGGCAUGGAUUUAACAUACGUUAGUUGGAUUUUUCAUGGGGAGAGAAGUAGACCUAACACAAGCAAUAAAGAAGAAGAAGAGAGCAGUGUGGGUCAUGAUUUUUAUUCGGAUGAGCCAGUAGACAUGGUGCAUGAUGCAUAUGUUGACAAUCCAACUCAUUUUCAUAGACUGCUCGAGGAAGCUGAAAUGCCAUUAUAUUUUGGAUGUGAUGGUUUCACGAAGUUAUCUGC
Molecule: long non-coding RNA, 809 nt
Filed under: Salvia miltiorrhiza (redroot sage)
Lineage: Eukaryota; Viridiplantae; Streptophyta; Magnoliopsida; Lamiales; Lamiaceae
Description: long non-coding RNA (SMIL_LNC007259)
Source: RNAcentral